CACUCUAGAGAGACUGCCAGGGAUAACCUGGAGGAAGGUGGGGAUGACGUCAAAUCAUCAUGCCCCUUAUGCUUAGGGCUACACACGUUCUACAAUGGGUAGUACAGAGGGUUGCCAAGCCGUAAGGCGGAGCUAAUCCCUUAAAGCUACUCUAAGAUCGGAUUGUAGGCUGUAACUCGCCUACAUGAAGCUGGAGUUACUAGCAAACGCAGAUCAGAAUGCUGCGGUGAAUGCGAUCACGGGUCUUGUACACCCCGCCCGUCACACCACGGGAGUUGGAGACGCCCGAAGCCGAUUAUCUAACCUUUUGGAAGAAGUCGUCGAAGGUGGAAUCAAUAACUGGGGUGAAGUCGUAACAAGGUAGCCGUAUCGGAAGGUGCG
Molecule: ribosomal RNA, 381 nt
Filed under: Clostridioides difficile
Lineage: Bacteria; Bacillati; Bacillota; Clostridia; Peptostreptococcales; Peptostreptococcaceae
Description: bacterial SSU rRNA
Rfam family: Bacterial small subunit ribosomal RNA
Source: RNAcentral